GUAGGAAUAGAGAGAAAAAGAUAGAAAACCACAGACUCUAUCUCCUUCCUUCCAAAAUAUUGUGACCACACAUAAUAUAGGCUGAAGUGUCCCUCUUGAGGCCAGCAGGAUAAUGCCACAAGGUGUGGAUUACUUUCCUUUUGUCUUGGGGGUGUCUGAGAUUGUUCCUGUCCUCAGGGAACUGAGACCCUCUUUGGAGAGAUACACAUAAAUAGCCUGGACUAAGACAUGGUGGUAAGUGUAACAGAAGAGCUUAAAAUGGAUAUCCUGAUAAGUACAGCAUCUUUGUUGACAGAAUUGAAACAAACAUUCUCAUCGUAUCAAAGGGUGGUGGCACACCCAUAAUCUCAGCUACCUGGGAGGCUGAGACAGGUGGGUCAUAAAUUCUAGCUCAAUUUGGGAUACUUAGCAAGAUUCUGUCUUA
Molecule: long non-coding RNA, 424 nt
Filed under: Fukomys damarensis (Damara mole-rat)
Lineage: Eukaryota; Metazoa; Chordata; Mammalia; Rodentia; Bathyergidae
Description: lncRNA (ENSFDAG00000021891.1)
Source: RNAcentral